GUGUCAGCCGCCGCGGUAAUACGUAGGUGACAAGCGUUAUCCGGAAUUACUGGGCGUAAAGCGCACGCAGGCGGCGCAUUAAGUCUGACGUGAAAUCUCCUGGCUUAACUGGGAGGGGUCGUUGGAGACUGAUGUGCUUGAGGCGAUGAGAGGGGUGUAGAAUUCCCGGUGUAGUGGUGGAAUGCGUAGAUAUCGGGAGGAAUACCAGUGGCGAAAGCGACACCCUGGCAUUAGCCUGACGCUCAUGUGCGAAGGCGUGGGGAGCGAACGGGAUUAGAUACCCCCGUAGUCC
This 292-nucleotide ribosomal RNA is filed under the name uncultured bacterium. RNAcentral describes it as "partial 16S ribosomal RNA". It matches the Rfam family "Bacterial small subunit ribosomal RNA", at positions 505 to 796 of the family's 1533-position model. The record is from RNAcentral.